UCAUUUACACCCUCAAGCUACGCUUGGUGUUGGGCGUCUGUCCCCGCUUCCCGCGGGGACUCGCCCCAAAUCCAUUGGCAGCGGCAUCGCCGGCUUCUCGCGCAGCACAUUGCGCUUCAGAAGGUUCCCGGCGGGCUCGCAUCCAGCAAGAACCCCCCCAGUUUGACCUCGAAUCAGGUAGGGAUACCCGCUGAACUUAA
This 200-nucleotide unclassified non-coding RNA is filed under the name soil metagenome. RNAcentral describes it as "partial contains internal transcribed spacer 2 and large subunit ribosomal RNA". The record is from RNAcentral.